This 1437-nucleotide ribosomal RNA is filed under the name uncultured prokaryote. RNAcentral describes it as "partial 16S ribosomal RNA". It matches the Rfam family "Bacterial small subunit ribosomal RNA". The record is from RNAcentral.
GAUGAACGCUAGCGGCAGGCCUAACACAUGCAAGUCGAGGGGUAGCUUGCUUCAGAUGACGACCUGCGCACGGGUGAGUAACGCGUAUGCAACCUACCUCAAACAGGGGGAUAGCUCAGGGAAACCUGGAUUAAUACCCCAUAAUAUUUAGAUUUGGCAUCAGAUUUAAAUUAAAACUCCGGUGGUUUGAGAUGGGCAUGCGUGACAUUAGCUAGUUGGUAAGGUAAUGGCUUACCAAGGCUACGAUGUCUAGGGGUUCUGAGAGGAUGAUCCCCCACACUGGUACUGAGACACGGACCAGACUCCUACGGGAGGCAGCAGUGAGGAAUAUUGGUCAAUGGGCGCAAGCCUGAACCAGCCAUCCCGCGUGUAGGAAGACUGCCCUAUGGGUUGUAAACUACUUUUAUAAAGGAAGAAACCCUCUACGUGUAAGAGGCUGACUGUACUUUACGAAUAAGCACCGGCUAACUCCGUGCCAGCAGCCGCGGUAAUACGGAGGGUGCGAGCGUUAUCCGGAUUUAUUAGGUUUAAAGGGUGUGCAGGCGGGCCUUUAAGUCAGUGGUGAAAUCCUGCAGCUUAACGGGGGAACUGCCUUUGAUACUGGAUACCUUGAGUGCAGUUGAAGUGGGCGGAAUGUGUGGUGUAGCGGUGAAAUGCAUAGAUAUCACACAGAACACCGAUUGCGAAGGCAGCCCACUAAGCUGCAACUGACGCUGAGGCACGAAAGCGUGGGUAGCGAACAGGAUUAGAUACCCUGGUAGUCCACGCCGUAAACGAUGGUCACUCGCUGUCGGCGAUACACAGUCGGCGGCCGAGCGAAAGUAUUAAGUGACCCACCUGGGGAGUACGCCGGCAACGGUGAAACUCAAAGGAAUUGACGGGGGCCCGCACAAGCGGAGGAACAUGUGGUUUAAUUCGAUGAUACGCGAGGAACCUUACCAGGGCUUAAAUGUAGAGCGACCGCUGCCGAAAGGUGGCUUUCCUUCGGGACGAACUACAAGGUGCUUCAUGGUUGUCGUCAGCUCGUGCCGUUAGGUGUCGGGUUAAGUCCCAUAACGAGCGCAACCCCUAUCGUUAGUUGCUAGCAGGUAAUGCUGAGGACUCUAACGAGACUGCCGGUGUAAACCGCGAGGAAGGUGGGGAUGACGUCAAAUCAGCACGGCCCUUAUGUCCAGGGCGACACACGUGUUACAAUGGCCAGUACAAAGAGCAGCUACAUGGUGACAUGAUGCUAAUCUCCAAAACUGGUCUCAGUUCGGAUUGAAGUCUGCAACUCGACUUCAUGAAGUUGGAUUCGCUAGUAAUCGCGCAUCAGCCAUGGCGCGGUGAAUACGUUCCCGGGCCUUGUACACACCGCCCGUCAAGCCAUGGAAGCUGGGGGUACCUGAAGUCCGUAACCGCAAGGAGCGGCCUAGGGUAAAACUGGUGACUGGGGCU